Cucurbita moschata (crookneck pumpkin) is the source of this 3430-nucleotide RNA transcript. RefSeq lists it as uncharacterized. The record is from RefSeq and is a predicted model, not a curated record. Lineage: Eukaryota; Viridiplantae; Streptophyta; Magnoliopsida; Cucurbitales; Cucurbitaceae. The transcript is spliced from 5 exons.
CUUUCGUCGCAUCGCGACUAUAAAUAUCUCCCUAAUUCUCGUUUCUUGUUUUCUUUUCGAGUGUCUAGAGAGAUCAAACAUCAAAUUACUCUGCCUCUUCGUCGCCCAGUACCAGCGUUUUCGGUCUCCUCCCGCGAGUCAUCGCAUGCUAUCCAUUUCUUCUGUUCAGUUCGAUCACUUCCUGCAACGGCAUGGAAUAUCGCCUCGGAAGAUAGUUCUCAGAUCUGUUUAGUUAGCUUUAAUCCGCGAGGAGAAGAAAACUGAAAAAAGUGAGAGUCCGAGCUCAACUGUUCCUCUGUGCCUGCGGAUUACCAGACUGCUGGGACAGUUUACUCUAGUCGAGCAAGAGAGAUUCGAGCAAGAGAGGAAAGGGUAACGAAAAGAGAACGACCAUUGAAGAGUGAUGGAAUCAAUUGACGAAUGGUAACAAGCAAUUGGCGAAGGGACGAUGACAGGUGGUGGCAAGCAAUGAAAGCUGGGAGGAAAGGAGGAGAAGGGCAGUGGGACCAAGAGCUGUUGAACGAGGCAAGAGAGAAGAAAUGAGGGUAAACGGUGACGGAAACGACCAACAAACCGACCGGCAAACAACGAAGGGACAAAAACCGGCGGCUGCUGUGCCAUGCAAGGGGGACUUUAAGAUGCUGAAUCAUCUGUUUGAUUUUGUUCAGCAACAUCAAUCGCUCAAGAAUCCCAGAUUCAUGCUCUCACGACUGUUGUCUAGGAUCUUUCUUUCAGCAUGUCAGGUAAAUAGAAGGUUUGUGUAACAUCUCUUUUACGCAAAAUAAUUUGCAUAUAUAAUUUUAAUGUUUGUCUCAAUGAGGUAUAAAUAUGUUCCUAUCACCUUGACACUAGUAUCGAUGGGUACUAAUACGUCCAAAUUCACAAUCAUUCUGGAUGCAAAUAGCAAAGCCAGUAAUUCACUAGGUCUGUUCUUCUUAUCCUAGUCAAAUUUCUAAACCCUCCUCUCCUCCCCACCCCCACAUUCCACAACAUACUCGUACUAGCAAUAACUGUGAUGUGUAAUACCUAUUAGUCAUCAUCGUAUCAGAAUCUUUACUAAUAGGAAAUCUAGUAAUUUGUGUUUCAACAAACAUACAUGAUUCUUUAGCUAAUAUGUCUGAUAUCCAGAGGAAAGGAAAAAUAAUAGUUCUUGUGCUAAAGAAUACCUUGACUUCAGAAGUCGAGUUCCCAAGCUGAUGGUGCUCCUCUUUUGUUUUAUUAUAUCGUUCUAUUAGUGUUUUCAUGCUGGUAAUACAAUAAAUAAUCCAUGAGUUAGAGAUGGAAGUCCUCUUCCUAUUUCAUAAAUGGAUUAUCAUAUGAAAAACAUAAUGAUAUUUGCAAGAAAUGAAAAUUUAUUGGGAAGACAUGGAAAGUUGAAAAUUUAACAAUUACCUUGCGAGCAUUGUCAAUAGGAUGACCCUAUUUACUCCUAGAUUCCUUUUAAUCUAGUUUUCCCAGAUAGACCUAAACUCUUAAUCUCAUAAAAUAGGCUCUUUACCUUUUCAAGAUUCUCCUCAGAAUUCUAUGGAAGAACUUCAAAUUUGCUGGUAGGUAGAAUGAAAUUUGUAGUCGCAUGAGUACAUUAGAGGGGUGGUAAAUAAGGUUGCCUAACAAUUGAACGAAUCUUUUCAUUAAAGAAAAACCUGAACUAAAUCCAACGACCAGUUUAUCCUACAAUAUCCAAAGUUUAAUUCAAACAAGUAAAUUUUAACAAGUUCACCUAUUAUGCAGAUGGCAAUGAAAUAAUAUUCAGAACUAUGUUCAAAACAAUACAUAGGUCAGCAAUGAAAUUUACAAUUUAUCAAUGAAUUCAUAUUAGAGUAUGAACAGCAAUUAAAUUGAAGAGGUGGGAUAGAGAGUUUAAACACAAAUUUGCGACCUAUGAUGAAACCUAAUUCUCAAUGUGUCUCCAUGAAUAUUUUAGUGCCAGCCAGUUCUUCUUUUGUUGCCUAACUUAUUAUAUGGUGAUAUAGGUUAGCGAAUGGGGCUUUGAUAAUUGAAUAUAUUGUUUUUUCUAAUCUGUAGAGGCAUGCAUCAUGCACUUAAAAUGUCUUUCAGUUGAAUGAUGCAAAUUUUAGGUAUCUACACUAUGGAGUGUCAAGUUGCUCAAAGUAAAGGAUUCCUUGCACUCAUCGGUCAGGUAUGCCUACAUAUUCUUAAAUCUUCCAUGUGUUAGUUGUAUGAUUUAAACCCUAGAAUGUUUAAUCUGAGUUAACGUAAAAUUUUAUGUGAAUAUUUAUGGUGCACUCUUUUACCCUCUUUGUUUUGCCAAUCAUCUUGCUAGUUACAGAAACAGAGAAAUUCAUUAAACUGAAAACAUGACAAAAAAAAAAAUUAAAGAUAAGAGUAUCUCGUAGAAAAUUAUGAUUAUAAGGUUCACUUGGGAAAUCUUCUGUUUUACAUAGGAACUUCAUCAACGAGAUAGAACUGUAAGACAAAAGCUAAAGGAGUUGCAAGAAUCUUCUUCCAUUGGCACAAACCACUCAGAACCAUUACAAAGACCCAAUAACGAACAACAAAAACACUUGAGCAAACAAAACAAAGUGAAACUUGCAAAGAAAGAGUCUAAAUAACCAAACGCAACCUCAAUGGCCGCCCUCAGAAAACAAAGAAGACAACGUCUGAGAACCAUAGAACUCUGAAACAAAAGGCCUGAAAACAGAGCCAAAUAGAAAAAUAGAGGAAAAACUAAGAUUCCUCAACCAAAUAGAAAAACCUGACCCCAUAACACCAAGAGAUAAUCACUGAACCCAAACCUCAAGAGAACAAACAAACAUCAAAAACAAAUUCCUUGUAAGUUCAUGGAAGGAAUUGUACGCAUCUCAAGACCACAAGCAUUUAUAAAAGGAUAUGACUGAUGCAUUAGUAGAGGUAACAAAAAUUCAGUUUUUCCGAAUGACCUGCUCUUCAUUAAAAAGAAUCUUCCAUUCCCUUCCCUUCUAUCUACAAUGCGCAGAAAAUGGUCUUAAUGGCAUAGAGCCUCAUUCAUUCUUAUGUAAAAAAUCCUCAAAGCUUCAUACUUAGGAAGUCAAAGAAAUAGGAAAUAAUAUAAAGAUUCUCGAGAUGAGAUUUGUAUGAAAGGAACCAGGUAUACAACUUUCAAGCUCUCCUAUCUAUCCUUGCCCUUACCAGUUAGCAUACAAACAUCAAACAUACCCAUAAGAGAAAUUCACACCUUGACUUCUUCAUAUGAAGGUUUCUUCCUAGAUAAUAGAUUAAGAUUUCAAGGCAGGCUAAGAGAUGUAGUCUUAAAACCUCUUGUUACCAAAAGGCCCAGUCUUAGGAAAUCUUCACAAAAAUAAACCAAACCCCUCUCAUUGGUUCAUUAAAGGUCUACAACAAUUACCGUUGACUCUAGCAAUUCGAAGAUGGUAAAUAAAGAAUAUAUUCAUAACGUCGUGAAUGGAUUCAUCUGCAAUUUUAAAGGGCA